This 564-nucleotide ribosomal RNA is filed under the name Streptomyces violaceolatus. RNAcentral's name for it is "bacterial SSU rRNA". It matches the Rfam family "Bacterial small subunit ribosomal RNA", at positions 75 to 654 of the family's 1533-position model. Lineage: Bacteria; Bacillati; Actinomycetota; Actinomycetes; Kitasatosporales; Streptomycetaceae. The record is from RNAcentral.
CCACUUCGGUGGGGAUUAGUGGCGAACGGGUGAGUAACACGUGGGCAAUCUGCCCUUCACUCUGGGACAAGCCCUGGAAACGGGGUCUAAUACCGGAUACUGACCCUUGCAGGCAUCUGCGAGGUUCGAAAGCUCCGGCGGUGAAGGAUGAGCCCGCGGCCUAUCAGCUUGUUGGUGAGGUAAUGGCUCACCAAGGCGACGACGGGUAGCCGGCCUGAGAGGGCGACCGGCCACACUGGGACUGAGACACGGCCCAGACUCCUACGGGAGGCAGCAGUGGGGAAUAUUGCACAAUGGGCGAAAGCCUGAUGCAGCGACGCCGCGUGAGGGAUGACGGCCUUCGGGUUGUAAACCUCUUUCAGCAGGGAAGAAGCGAAAGUGACGGUACCUGCAGAAGAAGCGCCGGCUAACUACGUGCCAGCAGCCGCGGUAAUACGUAGGGCGCAAGCGUUGUCCGGAAUUAUUGGGCGUAAAGAGCUCGUAGGCGGCUUGUCACGUCGGUUGUGAAAGCCCGGGGCUUAACCCCGGGUCUGCAGUCGAUACGGGCAGGCUAGAGUUCGGUAG